GAAAAAAUCAUUAAAGAAAAGAAGACGUCAUCCCGCAUCCGUUUUAUGCUGCAGGACGUGCUGGAUCUGCGAGGGGUGUGUGUCCCCCUCCUCCCCACUGCCCUGCCUCCAGUUUCUGACACUGCCUUGUCUGGCCUUCCCUGACAUCAUCGUGACUGGCCCUCUGUCUCCACAGAGCAAUUGGGUGCCACGCCGAGGGGAUCAGGGUCCCAAGACCAUUGACCAGAUCCAUAAGGAGGCUGAGAUGGAAGAACAUCGAGAGCACAUCAAAGUGCAGCAGCUCAUGGCCAAGGGCAGUGACAAGCGUCGGGGUGGUCCUCCAGGCCCUCCCAUCAGCCGUGGACUUCCACUUGUGGAUGAUGGUGGCUGGAACACAGUUCCCAUCAGCAAAGGUAGCCGCCCCAUUGACACCUCACGACUCACCAAGAUCACCAAGCCUGGCUCCAUCGAUUCUAACAACCAGCUCUUUGCACCUGGAGGGCGACUGAGCUGGGGCAAGGGCAGCAGCGGAGGCUCAGGAGCCAAGCCCUCAGACGCAGCGUCAGAAGCUGCUCGCCCAGCUACUAG
This 567-nucleotide small RNA is filed under the name Pongo abelii (Sumatran orangutan). RNAcentral describes it as "retained intron". Lineage: Eukaryota; Metazoa; Chordata; Mammalia; Primates; Hominidae. The record is from RNAcentral.